This 253-nucleotide ribosomal RNA is filed under the name uncultured bacterium. RNAcentral's name for it is "partial 16S ribosomal RNA". It matches the Rfam family "Bacterial small subunit ribosomal RNA", at positions 524 to 776 of the family's 1533-position model. The record is from RNAcentral.
GACGUAGGGCGCGAGCGUUGUCCGGAUUUAUUGGGCGUAAAGAGCUCGUAGGCGGCUUGUCGCGUCGGCUGUGAAAUCCCGUGGCUCAACUGCGGGUCUGCAGCCGAUACGGGCAGGCUAGAGUUCGGUAGGGGAGACUGGAAUUCCUGGUGUAGCGGUGAAAUGCAUAGAUAUCAGGAGGAACACCAGCGGCGAAGGCGGCACUCUGGGCUGGAACUGACGCUGAGGAGCGAAAGCGUGGGGAGCGAACAGG